CCUACGGGUGGCAGCAGUGGGGAAUAUUGCACAAUGGGCGCAAGCCUGAUGCAGCCAUGCCGCGUGUGUGAAGAAGGCCUUCGGGUCGUAAAGCACUUUCAGCGGGGAGGAAGGCGGUGAGGUUAAUAACCUCAUCGAUUGACGUUACCCGCAGAAGAAGCACCGGCUAACUCCGUGCCAGCAACCGCGGUAAUACGGAGGGUGCAAGCGUUAAUCGGAAUUACUGGGCGUAAAGCGCACGCAGGCGGUCUGUCAAGUCGGAUGUGAAAUCCCCGGGCUCAACCUGGGAACUGCAUUCGAAACUGGCAGGCUAGAGUCUUGUAGAGGGGGGUAGAAUUCCAGGUGUAGCGGUGAAAUGCGUAGAGAUCUGGAGGAAUACCGGUGGCGAAGGCGGCCCCCUGGACAAAGACUGACGCUCAGGUGCGAAAGCGUGGGGAGCAAACAGGAUUAGAUACCCGUGUAGUC
Molecule: ribosomal RNA, 465 nt
Filed under: uncultured Klebsiella sp.
Lineage: Bacteria; Pseudomonadati; Pseudomonadota; Gammaproteobacteria; Enterobacterales; Enterobacteriaceae
Description: bacterial SSU rRNA
Rfam family: Bacterial small subunit ribosomal RNA
Source: RNAcentral